Molecule: non-coding RNA, 965 nt
Organism: Ictidomys tridecemlineatus (thirteen-lined ground squirrel)
Lineage: Eukaryota; Metazoa; Chordata; Mammalia; Rodentia; Sciuridae
Source: RefSeq, a predicted model, not a curated record
UUUCCAACGCACUAAAAUGUUGGCAGAAAAUCUCUUUGAUUUUAUUUUUAUGUUCUUGACUACUGACCUGUCCCUGUGGAAAGCUCCAGGUUUAAGAAUAUGGGCCUAGGAUCUGCAUUUGAUGUGACCUAGAUUUUGACCUCAUUUUCCUUUUCAAUCUUUGGUCAACAGGUUUCAGACAAACUACGAAGUCUGAGACUUAGAUUUUGACCUUGGCAUUACUUUCCAUUUGCCGAAUUUGGGAUAGGGUCAGGUGGCAGAAAGGCUGUUUGAAAUACAAUUUUUGGAAAGAUGUCCAUUAAAAGAACUAGUGCUGGUGAUUCUGAUUGGAGUCACUGGAUUUCUGGAGGCUGAGAUUUCCGUCUGGGUUUUGUGCCAUGUUAUUUCCCACUCUGGUAUUCCAUUCCUAAUGUGUGCAAUGAUCUAACUUUUGAAAGUGAUGUCUGUGUGGCUGUGAUCGACAUCAUUAUUGGAGAAAGCUGCACACGUCAAAGAACUGAGGCCAGCCAUUGGCCAAUAGCCAGCAAGAAAAUGAUGCCUUCAGAUAGCCCACAGGCAACUGAAAUCCAACAACAGGGGCGAGAACAUUUUCAUGUCCUACUUAAGAAGUCUGUCUCUGAACAAGCACUGGAGAUUGGGCCACCUGCUAUAACCACCUAGCCACACUAUCCCUCUGAGAUGGGUGCGACCUACCAAGACGCCAGUCAUAUGCUGACUGCAAGACACAAUGAAGUGGUUUACACCCUCUUUGGCAGGAAGAAGAAACCCCUAACAAGAUGCUGGCUGCCUCCCCAUAAUUAAAGAGACCUGAAGAGAAUUUAUUUGGAAGAAAACUGAUGGGAAACAAAGGUCAUGUGUAAUUGAGACAUCUAAAACUUCAAAGAUGCUAUUUGAAAAAUUGAGACAAUUGAAGAAAUUAGAAUAUGGAUUACAAAUUAAUUACAUCUUAAGUUUCCUGGUUUUUA